RNAcentral lists this ribosomal RNA (434 nucleotides) under uncultured Lachnospiraceae bacterium. RNAcentral's name for it is "partial 16S ribosomal RNA". It matches the Rfam family "Bacterial small subunit ribosomal RNA", at positions 341 to 792 of the family's 1533-position model. Lineage: Bacteria; Bacillati; Bacillota; Clostridia; Lachnospirales; Lachnospiraceae. The record is from RNAcentral.
ACGGAAGGCAGCAGUGGGGGGUAUUGCACAAUGGGCGAAAGCCUGAUGUAGCAACGCCGCGUGAGUGAAGAAGUAUUUCGGUAUGUAAAGCUCUAUCGAUGGGGAAUAAGAUGAAGGUACCCAAGUAAGAAGCCCCGGCUAACUACGUGCCAGCAGCCGCGGUAAUACGUAGGGGGCAAGCGUUAUCCGGAUUUACUGGGUGUAAAGGGAGCGUAGACGGAAUAGCAAGCUUGAAGUGAAAUACCUGGGCUUAACCCAGGAAUUGCUUUGAAAACUGUUAAUCUAGAGUACUGGAGGGGUAUGGGGAAUUCCUAGUGUAGUAGUGAAAUGCGUAGAUAUUAGGAGGAACACCGGAGGCGAAGGCGCCAUACUGGACAGAUACUGACGUUGAGGCUCGAAAGCGUGGGGAGCAAACAGGAUUAGAUACCCUGGUA